RNAcentral lists this ribosomal RNA (494 nucleotides) under uncultured bacterium. Its description in RNAcentral is "partial 16S ribosomal RNA". It matches the Rfam family "Bacterial small subunit ribosomal RNA", at positions 28 to 507 of the family's 1533-position model. The record is from RNAcentral.
GACAAACGCUGGCGGCGUGCUUAACACAUGCAAGUCGAACGGUGAAGCGCCUUCCUUUUUGGUGGGUGUGGAUGAGUGGCGAACGGGUGAGUAACACGUGAGUAACCUGCCCCCUUCUUCUGGAUAACCGCAUGAAAGUGUGGCUAAUACGGGAUAUUCUGGGUCUGUCGCAUGAUGGGUCUGGGAAAGAUAUUGUUUCGGUGGGGGAUGGGCUCGCGGCCUAUCAGCUUGUUGGUGGGGUGAUGGCCUACCAAGGCGGUGACGGGUAGCCGGCCUGAGAGGGUGGACGGUCACACUGGGACUGAGACACGGCCCAGACUCCUACGGGAGGCAGCAGUGGGGAAUAUUGCACAAUGGGCGCAAGCCUGAUGCAGCGACGCCGCGUGAGGGAUGGAGGCCUUCGGGUUGUGAACCUCUUUCGCCAGUGAAGCAGGCCUGCCUCGUUUGUGGGUGGGUUGACGGUAGCUGGAGAAGAAGCGCCGGCUAACUACGUG